CAGUCAAAUCCGUCUUUGACGGGUGAAAUCCACCUUUGGUGGAUGAAAUCGCUGUCGCGAUGAAAUCCUGC
RNAcentral lists this small RNA (71 nucleotides) under Faecalibacterium sp. CAG:1138. Its description in RNAcentral is "Gut-1 RNA". It matches the Rfam family "Gut-1 RNA". Lineage: Bacteria; Bacillati; Bacillota; Clostridia; Eubacteriales; Oscillospiraceae. The record is from Rfam by way of RNAcentral.